Trifolium pratense (red clover) is the source of this 381-nucleotide long non-coding RNA. RefSeq lists it as uncharacterized. The transcript is spliced from 3 exons. The record is from RefSeq and is a predicted model, not a curated record. Lineage: Eukaryota; Viridiplantae; Streptophyta; Magnoliopsida; Fabales; Fabaceae.
CAACAAACGCCUACCCAGCCUAGAAACGUUUUACGGUCCUUGCUGGUACGAGCAACUUCUUCCCCUAUUAUUUAAGUGAUCAUCAAGUUUUGUUAUAAGUCUCAUUCUCCUCUAAUUUUAUUUGCAGCCGUCACCGUAAAAUUGUGAUUGCGUCGUCGUUAACUGAUGGAUCGUUGAAACGAACUUUGGAGCGUGAGAUAUAGUGUGUGCAUUGUAGCUGCGAACUUAGUCUAUUAUUGUGCUUGGAAUGAAAGCGACUAAGGUACUCAAGGAGAAAGACAUGUUUGAAUGUGAUGCUUGAAGCGCGUACGUACGGGGAAAAUUGGGUUUUGUAAUUUGUGAAUUUUUAUGUAAUAAAUAAUUCGUCGUUGUAUUUUCUUC